UUAAUUGAAGCCAAAGGGGGGAGGCACCUUAAUGUUAAUAAGGAAAAUGAUUUUAAUAAUCCAAUUAAU
This 69-nucleotide transfer RNA is filed under the name Maiestas dorsalis. RNAcentral's name for it is "tRNA-Asn". Lineage: Eukaryota; Metazoa; Arthropoda; Insecta; Hemiptera; Cicadellidae. The record is from RNAcentral.